This is a non-coding RNA of Monodelphis domestica (gray short-tailed opossum), 613 nucleotides long. The record is from RefSeq and is a predicted model, not a curated record. NCBI's taxonomy places the organism in Eukaryota, Metazoa, Chordata, Mammalia, Didelphimorphia, Didelphidae.
CAGGUAGCCACACGAAACGAAGACCGAAACUCACACUUAGUCCUGGUUCCGCAUACCGGAAACAGCCGGCCAGGACCGGAAACGUGCGCUAUGGAAAUGGGUCCGUCGCAUACUGGGCACCCAGAUAGGUUCCUGGUCAGAGGAAUCCCUCACUUGCAGAAGAAAUUGUUUUGGAACUCUUGUUAGAGACUGGAAUUCUGCCAUCUUCUCAUCCCGUGUAAAAAUGGGAUGAUGAGGGUAGUUCAGACUUAAAGAGUAAAGAAGACAGAGAUGGAAACUUGGAAGUUCAUUUUACAGAUGAGGAACUGAGGCAGUUGAGCGACUUACCCAACGUCACAGAACUAAUAAGUGUGUAAAGCCAAUUUUUAACUCAGAAAAGAUGAAUCUUUCUAGUUUCAGACCUAGGACUCUCUCUACUGCACCAUCUAACUGCCCUCACCAUGUCCAUCCAUGUAAUGAACGAGUUAUCACACACCUGCAUGAAAUGUGAUAUUUUAUCUUUCUCAUUAUCAACAAGUACACUGCCUAUCUGAUUUGAACCAAAGAGUUUGGAUUUAGAAGCAAUUGUGGCAAAGUAAAUAAAGUAUUGGGCUUAGAAUUAAGAAGACCUAAA